UAUCGUACUGAGCGUGGCCCUGUUCUGACAGCUGCUGCAGAGACCCCAGGGUGCUUGGUCUCCAUGUGGCGAAGCAGUUUUGAAGGUUUCAUGGCUUCGUUGGAUAGCCGGUCGCCACAUAUUAUACAAAGCGGGCGUGGAGAAUGCUACAGAUUAACGUCCACGUUUUGCUCCAGAUCAUUUCAUCCUCCCAAAG
Molecule: long non-coding RNA, 196 nt
Organism: Mauremys reevesii (Reeves's turtle)
Lineage: Eukaryota; Metazoa; Chordata; Testudines; Geoemydidae
Exons: 3
Source: RefSeq, a predicted model, not a curated record